CACAAGCGGUGGAGCAUGUGGUUUAAUUCGAUGCAACGCGAAGAACCUUACCUGGUCUUGACAUCCACAGAACUUUCCAGAGAUGGAUUGGUGCCUUCGGGAACUGUG
RNAcentral lists this ribosomal RNA (108 nucleotides) under Escherichia coli. RNAcentral's name for it is "partial 16S ribosomal RNA". It matches the Rfam family "Bacterial small subunit ribosomal RNA", at positions 924 to 1031 of the family's 1533-position model. The record is from RNAcentral. Lineage: Bacteria; Pseudomonadati; Pseudomonadota; Gammaproteobacteria; Enterobacterales; Enterobacteriaceae.